This 73-nucleotide transfer RNA is filed under the name Elusimicrobium minutum Pei191. Its description in RNAcentral is "tRNA-Thr (CGT) (tRNA-Thr-CGT-1-1)". It matches the Rfam family "tRNA". From Rfam's summary of the family: Transfer RNA (tRNA) molecules are approximately 80 nucleotides in length. Their secondary structure includes four short double-helical elements and three loops (D, anti-codon, and T loops). The record is from Rfam by way of RNAcentral. Lineage: Bacteria; Pseudomonadati; Elusimicrobiota; Elusimicrobia; Elusimicrobiales; Elusimicrobiaceae. RNAcentral also lists the same sequence under 3 other names.
GCCGAGAUAGCUCAGCUGGUAGAGCAACCGCUUCGUAAGCGGUAGGUCGUGGGUUCGACUCCCAUUCUCGGCU